This 397-nucleotide ribosomal RNA is filed under the name uncultured bacterium. Its description in RNAcentral is "bacterial SSU rRNA". It matches the Rfam family "Bacterial small subunit ribosomal RNA", at positions 28 to 429 of the family's 1533-position model. The record is from RNAcentral.
GACGAACGCUGGCGGCGUGCUUAACACAUGCAAGUCGAGCGGUAAGGCCCUUUCGGGGGUACGACGAGCGGCGAACGGGUGAGUAACACGUGGGUGACCUGCCUCUAGCUCUGGGAUAAGCCCGGGAAACUGGGUCUAAUACUGGAUAUGACUCCAUGACGCAUGUUGUGGGGUGGAAAGCCUUGUGCGGCUAGAGAUGGGCCCGCGGCCUAUCAGCUUGUUGGUGGGGNGAUGGCCUACCAAGGCGACGACGGGUAGCCGGCCUGAGAGGGCGACCGGCCACACUGGGACUGAGACACGGCCCAGACUCCUACGGGAGGCAGCAGUGGGGAAUCUUGCGCAAUGGGCGAAAGCCUGACGCAGCGACGCCGCGUGAGGGAUGACGGCCUGGUGUAAC